UAGAUAGAAACCGACCUGGCUCACACCGGUUUAAACUCAGAUCAUGUAAAAUUUUAAAGNGUCGAACAGACCUAACCUAUUAGCUUCUACACCAAUAAUAAAUYWUAAUCCAACAUCGAGGWCGCAAACAAUYWUUUCGAUAAGAACUCUUAAAAAAAUYACGCUGUUAUCCCUAAGGUAAUWUAAUCUWUUAAUCUCAACUWCAGGAUCAUUCACUWACAAAUAAAUAUUUAUAUACAAAAAAAAGWUCAUCUAAUWUUUCUAUCUCCCCAAUAAAAUACAAAAUWUAAAACUUAACAAAACUAUACCUAUUAUUUAAACUUUAAAAAAUAUAUCAAACUCUAUAGGGUCUUCUUGUCUUCUAUAAAUAUUUAAGCUUUUUAACUUAAAAAUAAAAUUUUAAUAAAUUUUUACAGAGACAGCUACUUUUUCAUCAAACCCUUCAUUCAAGCUUUUAAUUAAAAAACUAGUGACUAUGCUACCUUUGCACGGUCAAUAUACCGCGGCCAUUAAAUUACUCAUUGGGCAGGCCUGACCUGAAAUUAUAAUCAACAAGCCAUGUUUUUAAUA
Molecule: ribosomal RNA, 570 nt
Filed under: Trigonopterus pseudovalipunctatus
Lineage: Eukaryota; Metazoa; Arthropoda; Insecta; Coleoptera; Curculionidae
Description: partial 16S ribosomal RNA
Source: RNAcentral